AUGAAUAAUUCUCUUGUAGUAUACCUAAAAAGCCUUCGAACUUUCUGUGCAUUUGCACCCACCAAAUUGUCUUCUUUUGCCAAAUCUGCAUGGCAAUCUAUGAAAUACUCCUGCCAGUUCAUCUGCCAAACUAACCCACUCUUUAUCCAAGUCACCUAUUUCACCUUGAUCUCAUUUGCUGGAUAUGAAGCUCUGAAGGUCCUGAACUCCCAAGAUAAGUCAAAUACUCUGAAAGACUUAGACGUGUUGUUUACUUCUGUCUCUGCAUCAACUGUCUCAAGCAUGGCUACUGUUGAAAUGGAGGAAUUCUCAAGCAAACAACUCUGGGUUUUGGCAAUUUUAAUGCUGAUUGGUAGUGAGGUAUUCACUUCAAUACUUGGUCUUCACUUCAUGAGGGCUAAAUUCAAUACAGAAAAUUCACUCAACACAAGGGACCACAUAUCUCAUGUUGAUAUUGAAUCUAUUAAUGUUACAAACUUUGAUCCCAACACUAGCCAUGGCACAAAAGAUGAAGUGUCAUUUUCCGAACUCCACCUGGCAAACAAACAGCAUGUUGAUCCCAAGACAACUGUGCUUUUAGGUGCUGCAGUGACGGUCUAUCUUCUAAUAACAAACUUAGGGAGCUCCUUAGUUAUUUACCUCUACCUUAAGCUAGUACCAGAUGCACAAGAAGUUCUGAAGAGAAAAGGGAUUGGGCUCUUUCUUUUUUCUGUAUUUACGGCUAUAUCCUCGGUUGCAAACUGCGGCUUCACUCCAGUAAACGAGAAUAUGAUUAUCUUCCAGAAGAACUCCGGUCUGCUAUUGCUAAUUAUUCCUCAGAUGCUAGUAGGAAAUACAUUAUUUGCACCAUGCUUGAGAUUCAUGGUGUGGUCACUCCAGAAGAUUACCGGCAAACAAGAAUGGUCUUUCAUUCUUGAGCAUCCAAAGGCCACCAGAUACAGGCAUCUUAUGAGUACAAGAAAGUCUGCUUAUUUAGUUUUAACUGUUGUGGGCUUCAUCAUUCUGCAAACCAUAUUGUUUUGCUCUUUGGAAUGGAGCUCCGAGGCUAUACAGGAAAUGAGCAGCUAUCAAAAGAUAGUAGGUGCUCUUUUUCAGUCAACCAAUGCGAGGCAUGCUGGUGAAACUAUUGUGGAUCUGUCAAGCAUCUCUUCGGCAAUAAUAGUCCUAUACACCGUCAUGAUGUACCUCCCUGGUUACACUUCACUUUUACCCAAUUAUGACGAUCGGUAUUCUAAGGCCGAGAAGAGAUACAGCAGAAAAGGGCUAUUGGAGGACUGGAUCUUCUCCCAGUUGACUUAUUUGGCUAUCUUUGUCAUGCUAAUUUGCAUCACUGAGCGAGAAGCACUGACCACAGAUCCACUUAAUUUCAAUGUUUUCAGCAUACUGUUUGAAGUCGUCAGUGCAUAUGGAAACGUGGGCUUCUCAAUGGGUUACAGCUGCAAGAGGUUACUGAAACAAGACGUACACUGCAAGGAUGCUUCAUUUGGAUUUGUCGGAAAAUGGAGCGACAAGGGGAAAAUGAUUCUGAUCAUCGUCAUGGUCUUCGGGAGGCUUAAGGCGUACAAUUUGAAGGGCGGAAAAGCAUGGAAGCUUAGAUAG
Molecule: ribosomal RNA, 1599 nt
Filed under: Triticum aestivum (bread wheat)
Lineage: Eukaryota; Viridiplantae; Streptophyta; Magnoliopsida; Poales; Poaceae
Description: partial small subunit ribosomal RNA
Source: RNAcentral